UGUAGCUGCAAGAACCAGGAAAGGGAUGUUUUACAGAAAUGACGAUCUUCAUCAAGAGAAUGAUGAUCGCCAGUCUAGGAUUACUCCCUCUACCAAAUGUCAGGAGAUUAGACAACUCUGAGUUACUAACGAGAAGCUCCAAAUUUUGAUGAGGAAAUUUUUCCUGGAAUAUUUCAAGGGGCCUGCAACCUUUGGCUGACACCCAACAAGGCUAUUAAUUCAGCCAUGAGAUACACUACAGAAAAUAGAAGAGUCAGCAAUUCAUCUCUGUGGACCAGCUCGUAACCUUCACCAAGAACUCUUUAGAACAUGGGAAGAACCGAUAAAAUAGAAGACAAGUACCGAAGAUUACUUAACAACUUCCGAUGGCUGGCACAGCAUCAGCCCCCACAUUUUCCAUGGACGUGGAGGAGUACAACAGGAGCAUGGAGCCUACUGACCUA
Long non-coding RNA from Carcharodon carcharias (great white shark), 443 nucleotides. RefSeq lists it as uncharacterized. The transcript has 3 exons. NCBI's taxonomy places the organism in Eukaryota, Metazoa, Chordata, Chondrichthyes, Lamniformes, Lamnidae. The record is from RefSeq and is a predicted model, not a curated record.